RNAcentral lists this ribosomal RNA (301 nucleotides) under Staphylococcus xylosus. RNAcentral describes it as "partial 16S ribosomal RNA". It matches the Rfam family "Bacterial small subunit ribosomal RNA", at positions 75 to 369 of the family's 1533-position model. The record is from RNAcentral. Lineage: Bacteria; Bacillati; Bacillota; Bacilli; Caryophanales; Staphylococcaceae.
GGAGCUUGCUCCUUUGAGUUAGCGGCGGACGGGUGANUAACACGUGGGUAACCUACCUAUAAGACUGGGAUAACUUCGGGAAACCGGAGCUAAUACCGGAUAACAUUUAGAACCGCAUGGUUCUAAAGUGAAAGAUGGUUUUGCUAUCACUUAUAGAUGGACCCGCGCCGUAUUAGCUAGUUGGUAAGGUAACGGCUUACCAAGGCGACGAUACGUAGCCGACCUGAGAGGGUGAUCGGNCNCNCUGGAACUGANANNCGGUCCAGACUCCUACGGGAGGCNNNNNNAGGNANUCUUCCGC